CAGUCGCCGCGGGAAUACGUAGGUGGCAAGCGUUGUCCGGAAUUAUUGGGCGUAAAGGGCUCGCAGGCGGUUUCUUAAGUCUGAUGUGAAAGCCCCCGGCUCAACCGGAGAGGGUCAUUGGAAACUGGGAAACUUGAGUGCAGAAGAGGAGAGUGGAAUUCCACGUGUAGCGGUGAAAUGCGUAGAGAUGUGGAGGAACACCAGUGGCGAAGGCGACUCUCUGGUCUGUAACUGACGCUGAGGAGCGAAAGCGUGGGGAGCGAACAGGAUUAGAUACCCCGGUAGUCCCUGUCUCUUAUAC
RNAcentral lists this ribosomal RNA (301 nucleotides) under uncultured bacterium. RNAcentral describes it as "partial 16S ribosomal RNA". It matches the Rfam family "Bacterial small subunit ribosomal RNA", at positions 509 to 807 of the family's 1533-position model. The record is from RNAcentral.